This 23-nucleotide small nuclear RNA is filed under the name Arabidopsis thaliana (thale cress). RNAcentral's name for it is "snRNA_01991". Lineage: Eukaryota; Viridiplantae; Streptophyta; Magnoliopsida; Brassicales; Brassicaceae. The record is from RNAcentral.
UCCGGUUCAAUAGUAUGAAAGUA